Molecule: long non-coding RNA, 1541 nt
Organism: Neofelis nebulosa (Clouded leopard)
Lineage: Eukaryota; Metazoa; Chordata; Mammalia; Carnivora; Felidae
Exons: 7
Source: RefSeq, a predicted model, not a curated record
UCGAGCACGCAACACCACCCUCGUGGGAACGGCUGUCGCGCGUUUCUACGGCAAACAGAACUUCGAGGCCACCCCUCCCCCAGACCGUAGGUUCCGUGAGGACAGGGUUAGAGCUGCAAGACCGGCCCCAAGCGGGGUGCCUUGGAGGCGUGGAGCCGCUCCAGCAACAUCUGGUUCCCAGCAGCCGAGCAUGGUAUGAUCCUUGGCAAUUUCCCCCUUUCCUUUUCACAUUCUUCUUGUGCAUAUGCACGCACGCGUGCUCAAGGAAGGACACACACAAGGCACGAGACAAGAUGCACACACAAGCCAGCAUCUCACGCCUCCUGGAUCGGACACUUCUCCCCAUACUCAUGACCCUGGGCCGUGCCAUUCUGGAGGUUCCUGCAAUCUGCCCCCUGCCUCCCCAGCUGCCAGUGUGGGCCACUCCCCAGCAGGCUGGAGCAAUCCAGCUCAAAUGCAGGCUGAGGACUUCAGUCCUCAGGGUCCCCACUGCCUCCAGGACCAAGUCUGAACACUAGAACGCGCGUAUGAGGCCUUUCGCUGGUGGGCACGUCCGCUGGUCCAGCCUCACGCUCCCAGCCACAUUCAGCCACUGGAAUGGCAGCCCCAGAAGAGCGAGGGCUUCUGGUUGUCUGGAUCAUGGAUGCAUUCCCAGCACCUAGGACAGGGCCUGAGGGAGCCUCUAGGAAUAUUUGUCCAGUGAAAGGGCACUUUUCAGUUCUGAGCCUUUGCUCACGUUUUCCCCUCUGCCUACAACACGCUUUCCUCUCCCUUCAUCCGGCUAAUUCCUGCUCGUCUUUAAGGUCUCAACAGUGAUAUCCUUUCUCCAGUGCCUCGUGGCUUUCCUCUGGAGAAAUGGCCUCUCUCUUCCCGCAGUCCCGCAGGACUAUCUUUAACAUGCUUCUGGCUCUGGGCUCUACCGUCCAAAAGGCAAGAAGCCCCAGCAUGGACCUUUUUCAUUCCUGAUUGUCACCAAGGGAUAAGUAAGGUGCUAAUUCCAUCCCAGAAGAGUCCAAUUCGGUUCCAUCCAAUCCAGACUCUUAGGGUGCAGCAUUUGUCCUAUGACCUGCUCUGACCAGAGAGUCCUUGUCAAACGAAGUAGGCGGGAGACUUAAAAGCUCUCAUGAAGACCUCAUUACCAUCCCCUGCAGCUGCCCUUUCUAGAAACAGACCGAAGCCCCUGGGAGCCCCUGACCUUCCAGUGGUGAAUAUUGAUCUUUGACUCCUAGCUAAGCCACUGUCUUUACUCAGCAGCAGCAAUGACUCGACUCAGGCAAGGAGCUUAUGAACAUCCCAACCCACUAAGAUGUACAUGCCCUUCUCUCUUAUGGUCCCUUGGAGUUAAGUUCCUCUAAGACGUGUACCAAUGCCGUACUGGCUUCAAACCAAAUGAAUCAAUCAAUUCGCUGAGUCCACACGGAGCCAUCGAUUGCUCAAGUGCUUUAUGCUGCCCCCUCCCGCGGCAAGAGCCAGCCAUCCUCAAGACUCACCUCAUUCCUUCUGCGGCCAUCUCAUCAAGGUUGGCAGUGUCCUUCGUUUCU